Molecule: ribosomal RNA, 465 nt
Filed under: uncultured Klebsiella sp.
Lineage: Bacteria; Pseudomonadati; Pseudomonadota; Gammaproteobacteria; Enterobacterales; Enterobacteriaceae
Description: bacterial SSU rRNA
Rfam family: Bacterial small subunit ribosomal RNA
Source: RNAcentral
CCUACGGGUGGCAGCAGUGGGGAAUAUUGCACAAUGGGCGCAAGCCUGAUGCAGCCAUGCCGCGUGUGUGAAGAAGGCCUUCGGGUUGUAAAGCACUUUCAGCGGGGAGGAAGGCGUUAAGGUUAAUAACCUUGGCGAUUGACGUUACCCGCAGAAGAAGCACCGGCUGACUCCGUGCCAGCAGCCGCGGUAAUACGGAGGGUGCAAGCGUUAAUCGGAAUUACUGGGCGUAAAGCGCACGCAGGCGGUCUGUCAAGUCGGAUGUGAAAUCCCCGGGCUCAACCUGGGAACUGCAUUCGAAACUGGCAGGCUAGAGUCUUGUAGAGGGGGGUAGAAUUCCAGGUGUAGCGGUGAAAUGCGUAGAGAGCUGGAGGAAUACCGGUGGCGAAGGCGGCCCCCUGGACAAAGACUGACGCUCAGGUGCGAAAGCGUGGGGAGCAAACAGGAUUAGAUACCCCAGUAGUC